Long non-coding RNA from Exaiptasia diaphana, 378 nucleotides. RefSeq lists it as uncharacterized. NCBI's taxonomy places the organism in Eukaryota, Metazoa, Cnidaria, Anthozoa, Actiniaria, Aiptasiidae. The transcript is spliced from 3 exons. The record is from RefSeq and is a predicted model, not a curated record.
UUAAGUUUUAACAGUACAAACCCUUAACUUUGCUUGAAAUCUUAUAAUUUUAGGCAAGCUUCAAAUCGAUCAAGAUCGCCAGCAGUAAAAUCAAGGUAUUUAAGCAGUCAUAAGCAAUUUAAUAUACUGAUUAAUUAAGAAAGAUAUUUGCACAUUGACAACACCCUACCUGGCCAAUCAGCACACAAGUGUGGUAAAAUGAAAUGUUAGUUGUACAAAACCUUAACUUUGUAUAAAAUCUUGCAAUUUAGGYGUGUAGCAACACAGUCCAGAUCACCAGCACCACCAAAAACACCAACCAGAUCAUCAUCAAGAUAUGAUCAGACAACACCUCCAAGGGUCCAGCAUAUGGCAAGGAGAAGGGUGGCGAUUGACCCU